GAUGAAGAACGUAGCGAAAUGCGAUAAGUAGUGUGAAUUGCAGAAUUCAGUGAAUCAUCGAAUCUUUGAACGCACAUUGCGCCCUUUGGUAUUCCUUAGGGCAUGCCUGUUCGAGCGUCAUUUAAACCUUCAAGCUCAGCUUGGUGUUGGGUGACUGUCCGCUUCACCGCGGACUCGCCUCAAAAUUAUUGGCGGCCGGUACAUUGGCUUCGAGCGCAGCAGAAACGCGAACUCGGGCCCGUCGUAUUGGCUCCCAGAAGCUAUCUUCACAAUUUUGACCUCAGAUCAGGUAGGGAUACCCGCUGAACUUAAGCAUAUCAAUAAGCGGAGGA
Molecule: unclassified non-coding RNA, 332 nt
Filed under: soil metagenome
Description: partial contains 5.8S ribosomal RNA, internal transcribed spacer 2, and large subunit ribosomal RNA
Rfam family: 5.8S ribosomal RNA (bases 1-120)
Source: RNAcentral